Molecule: long non-coding RNA, 310 nt
Filed under: Marmota monax (woodchuck)
Lineage: Eukaryota; Metazoa; Chordata; Mammalia; Rodentia; Sciuridae
Source: RNAcentral
UGUUCUUUAAGUGUGGGAUUGUUUGGGUUUUGUUGUUGAGCCACUUGCUUUGUGACAGCUUACACCUUCAGGCAUUUCCAAUAAAAUAGGGGAGGGGUGGCGACAGUUUCUCUAGACAGGUUUGGAGUCUGGGGAAGAUGACUCAGACUCGCCAACUUUCUCCCAGCCACCAUCUGGCAAGCCCGUGAAUGUGAAAUGGGAGAGUCAGUGUCCUUCCAAUCAACGAAGAGCACCGCUGGCCACAAGACAGGAACUUGAGCACAAAGCCCAAGUUCCUCUGAAGGAUGGAUUUCUCCAGCACUGUCUUUUG